AAAGUCGUAACAAGGUCUCCGUUGGUGAACCAGCGGAGGGAUCAUUAAAGAGUUGCAAAACUCCAACCCCUGUGAACUUUACCUUUUUGUUGCUUCGGCGGCCGACGCCUUGCCCGAGAGGGCCGGGAGAACGCCGCCGGAGGUUCGAAACCCUGAAUUUUAGCGUAUCUCUGAGUAAGAAAAGAACACAAUCAAAACUUUCAACAACGGAUCUCUUGGUUCUG
This 224-nucleotide unclassified non-coding RNA is filed under the name Ascomycota sp. Its description in RNAcentral is "partial contains small subunit ribosomal RNA, internal transcribed spacer 1, and 5.8S ribosomal RNA". The stretch from base 1 to 47 matches the Rfam family "Eukaryotic small subunit ribosomal RNA", at positions 1785 to 1831 of the family's 1831-position model. Lineage: Eukaryota; Fungi; Ascomycota. The record is from RNAcentral.